This 807-nucleotide ribosomal RNA is filed under the name Triticum aestivum (bread wheat). Its description in RNAcentral is "partial small subunit ribosomal RNA". The record is from RNAcentral. Lineage: Eukaryota; Viridiplantae; Streptophyta; Magnoliopsida; Poales; Poaceae.
UGAUCUUUGGCAAAUUGCACCCAACUGCAGCAAUUGAUACUCGGCAGCAACUAUUUUAGAAGACAGCUACCAGGUUCGAUUGUCAACCUCUCAAUAACUCUCCAGGAGUUGUACUUAUAUGACAAUAGGAUCUCUGGGGUUAUUCCUGAAGACAUCAGCAAUUUGGUUGGUCUCAAUAGGCUCGUGAUAGUGAAUACUUUCAUAUCCUGAGUGAUUCCAGAUAGCAUUGGUAAGCUAGAGAACAUGAUUGAGCUACACUUGGACAAUAAUAGCUUGUCUGGCCUCAUACCUCCAUCGCUGGGAAAUCUUUCGCAGUUGACUUGACUUUAUGCACCUUAUGGCAACUUAGAGGGACCAAUUCCGGCAACCCUAUCGAAGUUGAAAAAACUUUUUGUACUCGAUUUAUCGAUGAACUACAGACUUAACGGUUCAAUACCAAGAGAGAUUUUGAAGUUGUGUGGACUUUCUUGGUACUUGGAUUUGUCGUACAAUUCCCCUUUUGGAACCAUUCCCAAUGAAGUUGGUAGUCUGGCAAAUCUGAACCAACUGAUUCUAUCAGGAAAUCAGUUGUCUGGCAAGAUACCCGACAAUAUUCAGAAUUGCACAGUGUUGGAAGAGUUAUUUUUAGAUGAUAAUUCCUUUGAGGAGAGCAUACCACGAUCAUUGAAUUUGACAUCAUUGUCCCAAUUGGAUGUGUCCUUCAAUAAUUUGCAAGGCAAGGUACCAAAUGAAGGUGUUUUCAGAAACAUUACUUAUUUAGCAGUUGCUGGGAAUAUCAAUCUGUGCGGUGGCGCACCUGGACUUUAG